UCUAAGGAGACUGACCGGUGGACAAACCGGGAGGAAGGUGGGGAUGACGUCAAGUCAUCAUGGCCCUUACGGCCUGGGCUACACACGUGCUACAAUGGUCGGUACAAAGGGUUGCCAAGCCGCGAGGUGGAGCUAAUCCCACAAAACCGAUCGUAGUCCGGAUCGCAGUCUGCAACUCGACUGCGUGAAGUCGGAAUCGCUAGUAAUCGUGAAUCAGAAUGUCACGGUGAAUACGUUCCCGGGCCUU
RNAcentral lists this ribosomal RNA (247 nucleotides) under uncultured Pseudomonas sp. Its description in RNAcentral is "partial 16S ribosomal RNA". It matches the Rfam family "Bacterial small subunit ribosomal RNA", at positions 1139 to 1382 of the family's 1533-position model. Lineage: Bacteria; Pseudomonadati; Pseudomonadota; Gammaproteobacteria; Pseudomonadales; Pseudomonadaceae. The record is from RNAcentral.